CACCUCUAGCAUUACAAGUAUUAGAGGCAUUGCCUGCCCAGUGACUAUAGUUAAACGGCCGCGGUAUCCUGACCGUGCAAAGGUAGCAUAAUCAUUUGUUCCUUAAUUAGGGACUAGUAUGAAUGGCUAGACGAGGGAUCAACUGUCUCUUAUUUUCAAUCAGUGAAAUUGACCUUCCAGUGAAGAGGCUGGAAUACAAUAAUAAGACGAGAAGACCCUAUGGAGCUUAAAUUAACAAGCUUAAUUAUUACCUAAAUACCCUAAUGGAACAAAACAAAAAAUAUAAGCUUAAAAUUUUGGUUGGGGUGACCUCGGAGAACAAAAAAUCCUCCGAAAGAUAUAUAACAUAGACCUACAAGUCAAAGUAACUCAGUUAUCUUAUUGACCCAAAAAUUGAUCAACGGACCAAGUUACCCUAGGGAUAACAGCGCAAUCCUAUUUAAGAGUCCAUAUCGACAAUAGGGUUUACGACCUCGAUGUUGGAUCAGGACAUCCCAAUGGUGCAGAAGCUAUUAAUGGUUCGUUUGUUCAA
This 532-nucleotide ribosomal RNA is filed under the name Hylomyscus pamfi. RNAcentral's name for it is "partial 16S ribosomal RNA". It matches the Rfam family "Bacterial large subunit ribosomal RNA", at positions 1816 to 2584 of the family's 2925-position model. Lineage: Eukaryota; Metazoa; Chordata; Mammalia; Rodentia; Muridae. The record is from RNAcentral.